This 417-nucleotide ribosomal RNA is filed under the name uncultured bacterium. Its description in RNAcentral is "bacterial SSU rRNA". It matches the Rfam family "Bacterial small subunit ribosomal RNA", at positions 28 to 447 of the family's 1533-position model. The record is from RNAcentral.
GACGAACGCUGGCGGCGUGCUUAACACAUGCAAGUCGAACGGUAAGGCCCUUCGGGGUACGACGAGUGGCGAACGGGUGGAGUAACACGUGGGUGAUCUGCCCUGCACUUCGGGAUAAGCUUGGGAAACUGGGUCUAAUACCGGAUAGGACCACGGUCUGCAUGGAUUGUGGUGGAAAGCUUUUGCGGUGUGGGAUGGGCCCGCGGCCUAUCAGCUUGUUGGUGGGGUGAUGGCCUACCAAGGCGACGACGGGUAGCCGGCCUGAGAGGGUGUCCGGCCACACUGGGACUGAGAUACGGCCCAGACUCCUACGGGAGGCAGCAGUGGGGAAUAUUGCACAAUGGGCGCAAGCCUGAUGCAGCGACGCCGCGUGGGGGAUGACGGCCUUCGGUUGGUAACCGUCUUUCUAGCAGGGAC